UGCCUGUGUGGCAUUAUUUUGGUUGCCUGUGUGGCAUUAUUUUGACUUGCCUGUGUGGCAAUGUGUAUUUCUGAGCUCAUUCGGUAUAAAAUAACUCCAGCCAUUUGUUUCAGCCUAUUAUUUUAUUGGAUUAGUUUUGUUGGUUUCUGUUCAGUUCAAGUCAUUGAGUUAGUUACUUCAGUUCGUUAUUUCUUUAUUCUUUUAUUGGUUUCGUCAAUUACGUUGAUUCAGAUAUAUUCAUUACGUUGAUUCAGAUAUAUUCCAUUCAAAUCUUUGGAUAUUAUAUUUUCGUUCGUAUUUGCACUUGAGGCUUUGUUCAGUAUUUUGUCUCAAUUAUUUUCGUAUAUCAGUUGUAUAUCUUUUGUAUAUCUGUAUCCGUACUGGACAAUUGGCUCAUGCUGGGUUUUUCUUCCGGCAGGUUUGCAGGGGUGAUU
This 434-nucleotide long non-coding RNA is filed under the name Panax ginseng (ginseng). RNAcentral describes it as "long non-coding RNA (PGIN_LNC011231)". The record is from RNAcentral. Lineage: Eukaryota; Viridiplantae; Streptophyta; Magnoliopsida; Apiales; Araliaceae.